GACAUCCUUAUGAGACUACAGACCUGGUGUACCAGAAGAAGACCAGUCCUCAGACCGCUGAGGAGUUUUAUUUGUCCACCAACGACACCAACAACCUUCAUCCAGGGGAAUACCUGUCCUCUUACACCAGGAGAGCACGCUGGUGGUCUCCAUCACAGCUCCACAAGUUUUAAUGGCGCCAUGACUAAGGUGUGUGUUCACAUCAUCACUGCUUCCUGCUGAUGGUCCAAUCCAAUUCUUCCCCUUCAGCCGCUGUGCUCCAUGUACAACCCCAGCAAAGGGCUGCUGCUCUCCAAGCAAUGGCUGAAAGCAGAUGUCAUCCCAAUAUGGGGUAUCCUACAUCCACUGGAUGUCCCCACAGGAGUACCUGUGCCUCCUCUACCUCUUCAUCUUGCAUCCUGACCUGGAGCUGCCGAACCAUCACCUGCCGUUUCCAUUCUGCUAUGGGGCGUCCAGUUUCAUCGUGGGUU
Xiphophorus couchianus (Monterrey platyfish) is the source of this 470-nucleotide long non-coding RNA. RefSeq lists it as uncharacterized. The transcript is spliced from 4 exons. Lineage: Eukaryota; Metazoa; Chordata; Actinopteri; Cyprinodontiformes; Poeciliidae. The record is from RefSeq and is a predicted model, not a curated record.